RNAcentral lists this long non-coding RNA (723 nucleotides) under Citrus maxima (pomelo). Its description in RNAcentral is "long non-coding RNA (CMAX_LNC004032)". Lineage: Eukaryota; Viridiplantae; Streptophyta; Magnoliopsida; Sapindales; Rutaceae. The record is from RNAcentral.
GAUAAACCUAAUUCUUCAAAUUUCUUCCUAGGAAAGGCUGUCAAUUAUGGCUCUCCAUAAGAAUGACGUCACCCAGAUGAUGUAAUCAGAAACUUUUUCCUUCAUCAGUUACUACGCAAUUUUUAACGUCCAUUUGUUCCACUUCAACUGAAAACUCAUCACUUCCUGCCUGCAAAAGUUAUUUGAGUGUCCAAAAAACUAUAGUGAAUCUACAUUUUUAUUGUUAAGGGAGUCAUUUAAAUAUGAAAUUGACAUGACAGCUAAUACAAAGCUACAGUUGCUACUUGAACAAAAUUAACAUGAAUAAAAAAAGUGUAGCUGCAACUAAUAACAUUAAAGCAAAGGAAUAAAGUAUUAACUAGAGAUUUUAAACAUAACUGUUUGGUUUAAAAUUAUGGGAAUUUUAGAUUACACUUACAGUUUUUAUUGUUUUUUAAUUUUUGAAGAGAAAGAAAAGAAAAAAAAAGAUCAGCUAUAUGAUUAAAGAAAGAUAACAUGGUUAUGCAUGGAGGGAACAAAAGAGUAAUUGAAGUGAGUUAUUUAACGGACCACCGCAGCAUUGAUCGGCGUGUACGGUGCCGCCGGCGCGGUGACGUCGUCAGAGAGGUGGCAUCGUCGGCGUCAUUGUAAGUGUGAGUGUGACUGUGCGAGUGAAUAUGAGAGUGACUCAUCGUGGUUUUAAACUAGAGGCAGACUCAAAAUGUACAGUUGUCAAUAUAUAAU